Molecule: long non-coding RNA, 494 nt
Organism: Seriola aureovittata
Lineage: Eukaryota; Metazoa; Chordata; Actinopteri; Carangiformes; Carangidae
Exons: 3
Source: RefSeq, a predicted model, not a curated record
GGAGCCCCUCAUGGUCCCGGUUUAAAGUCUUUUCUUCCCAGCGUGAUCGGAAGCGUGAGUCUCCACAGCAGCACAGGGUGAAGCAAUGAAUGAAGUGAGGGAGAUGGAGGCACGCGCAUUGUCGGAUCCAUACGCGCCUGGAGCAGGUGGAGGAGGAGGAAUCUGAAGCUGGUCCACUCUCUUUGUGCCCUGUGGUGUCUGCUGGGAGUUUUGCCUGCAUCAACAGCCGUCUCAUGGCGGGGUCCAGAUCCUUAAACUUCACCAAGUAGAAAUGGAACAGAAGGAGACUGAUUACAGACUUAUUUUAGUAUGUCUGUGUUUUAUUUCAUUUGGCUCAUGUAUUAGUGUUUUAUGUGCAUGUUUUGACUCACUGAACUGGUGGCUGGUGGAUCUAUGUUGCAUAGUGCGUCCACGGGGAAAUGCUCCUCCCUAUCCAAAUGUUCCACUGGUCUCAUUCUUCAGAGAAGAGAAAUAAACAGUGAACCAUCCCUUGA